UUCAUGAACUUAGAUAUGGUUCAUGGGUUUAUGGUUCAUGGGUUUAUGGUUCAUGAACUUGGUGUAUGGUUUUAUGGUUCAUGGACUUAUUGGUUCAUGGGUUUAUGGUUUAUGGACUUAUGGUUCAUGGGUUAUGGUUCAUGAACUUGGUGUAUGGUUUGUGGUUUAUGAUCCAUGGCUCAUGAGUUUAUGGUUUAUG
RNAcentral lists this long non-coding RNA (199 nucleotides) under Ananas comosus (pineapple). RNAcentral's name for it is "long non-coding RNA (ACOM_LNC020908)". The record is from RNAcentral. Lineage: Eukaryota; Viridiplantae; Streptophyta; Magnoliopsida; Poales; Bromeliaceae.